RNAcentral lists this long non-coding RNA (15718 nucleotides) under Manihot esculenta (cassava). RNAcentral describes it as "long non-coding RNA (MESC_LNC005136)". Lineage: Eukaryota; Viridiplantae; Streptophyta; Magnoliopsida; Malpighiales; Euphorbiaceae. The record is from RNAcentral.
AUAAACAGCUAGUAAUGCAUUUCCUUUCCCAAUUUCCUUUUGUUAUCCUUACCACUUUACCAGCUGGCAGAGAGCCUUCCUUUUCCGAUUCUCUAUUUCCUUUCCUCAUUCCCAAUCUCCGAUCCAUCCCUAAAAACAACUGACGAGAGAUCGAUGAUGAUGAAGAUGCCUUGGAGGAGGAAGAGCAGGAGCUUCCAUCUUCAGCUAUUCUUAUUUACCAAUUAUUGUCAUUCUUCUACUUCCACACUUGAAGAUGCACGCUUCUUGACAAAUAACUUCAAAUCUGCUUCUUUUACCCGCCUUGAUGAUGCCAUUGCUUCCUUCAAUCAUGUAAUUCAUAAGCAUCCUCUGCCUUCUAGGGUUCCAUUUAAUAGAUUUUUAUCUGCCCUUGUGAAAAUGAAACAAUAUCACACUGUCCUUUCCAUGUCCAAAACAAUUGAAUUGGUAGGGAUCUCUCACGAUGUUUAUUCUCUAAGCAUCUUAAUUAAUUGCUUCUGCCAUUUACACCUUGUGGAUUGUGGCUUCUCUGUUUUUGGUAAGAUGCUUAAAUUCGGAUUGGAGCCUACCACUGUGACAUUUAAUACCUUAAUUAAUGGGCUUUGUAUAGAGAGUAAAAUCGACAAAGCAGUGGAAUUUUUCGAUGAUAUGGUUGCACGUGGUUAUCAACCUAAUGUUUAUACUUACAGUGUGAUAGUAAACGGAAUGUGUAAAUUUGGGAAAACAAACGUGGCUAUUGGGCUACUAAAGGGAAUGGCUGAUAGAGGUUGUGAGCCAGAUGUUGUGACAUACAAUGCAAUCAUUGACGCCCUUUGCAAAGACGAGCUAGUUGGUGAGGCUUUAGACUCUUCUUUCAAAUGAGGAAUAAGGGCAUUUCACCUAAUGUCAUCACUUACAAGCUUCAUAUUCGCUUAGAGUUCGCUCCAAGAAAUAUAGCCAUCCCUACCCCCUCACGUCAAUAAGUUUAAUUCAUGGUGUUUGCAAAUUAGGCCAAAAGAACCAAGCUUUGGCCUUGAUGAAUGAAAUGGUGGAGCAAAACAUAUUACCAAAUGUUUAUACCUUCAGUGUAUUGAUUGAUGCUCUUUGUAAGGAUGGAAUGGUUUCAGAGGCUCAAAAUACAUUCAAUGUAAUGAUUCAAAGAGGUGUAGAGCCUGAUGUGGUCACCUACAAUUCCUUAAUUGAUGGUCUUUGCAUUUCAGACCAAUUCAAGGAAGCUUUGGCUUUGUUGAAAGAAAUGGUGGGGAGGAACAUAUCCCCUGAUGUUUUUACCUUCAAUAUAUUGAUCGACACUCUUUGUAAGAAAGGACUGGUUUCAAAUGCACAGAAUAUAAUCAAGAUAAUGAUUCAAAGAGGUGUGGAACCUGAUGUUGUCAAUUAUAAUUCAUUGAUGGAUGGAUAUUGUCUGUGCAAGCAAAUUGAUAAGGCUAGAAAGCUAUUUGAUCUGAUGGUGACCAAUGAAAUAGCUGACUUUUUUAGCUACAGCAUUUUGGUCAAUGGAUAUUGUAAGUGCAAAAUGAUAGAUGAUGCAAUGGAACUUUUUGGUGAAAUGUCUCAUAAAGGUUUAGUUCCUGAUGCUGUUACUUAUUGUACUCUUUUAAAGGGUAUGUUUCAAGCAGGGAGGCCCCAAAAUGCAAAAGAGCUCUUUAAGGAUAUGUGCUCUCAUGGUCAACAGCCAAAUAUAGUAACUUUCUCAAUUAUGAUUGAUGGCUUGUGUAGACAGGGGAAUCUCGAUGAGGCACUCACACUAUUGAAAGCAAUGGAGAAAAGUCAGUUGAAGCCUAAUCUUGUGAUCUAUAGCAGUCUGAUCAAUGGUAUGUGCAAAGUUGGGAAGAUUAAUGAUGCCAAGGAACUUUUUUCUAGUCUUUUUGAAAUUGGUUUACAACCUGAUGUUUAUGUAUACAGUGCAAUUAUGAAAGGACUCUGCCAACAAGGAUUCAUGGAUGAAGCGUAUAAGGUAUUUAAAGACAUGGAAAAGGUAGGAUGUUUACCAAAUAAUUGUUGUUAUAAUAUCAUCAUUCAAGGGUUUCUCAAGCAUGAGGAUUUACCAAAAGCAUCAGAACUAAUCAACGAAAUGGUUGAUAAGGGGUUCUCUGCUGAUGCUACUACCACAGAAUUGGUAGUACGUUUAUCGCAGAAUAAUGAUCUCAUUCUAAGCAAACUACGAAGUCGUUCUGAGGCUUCUAAAGGGGUGCAAUGAGGGAUCAGCAAACUAAAGUUGUUAUAUCUUGACCGUUCAAUGGUGUCUUGGAGAGAAACUUGGUAAUUACCUUCUUCAAAUGUAGUAGAUAUGUAAUUUAACUAACUUCAAAUUUCAUGUUUAAUUUCAAUCAGCUGUGAUUCUCUUCCACAAAACAAAAAUUUCUAACACUGUACCUGCAGUGGAAACCAUGAUAUGUGUGUGCCUUUCUCUUGAACUCAGACAUGGACUAGACCUCUUUGGAUAUAAGCUUGUUGAUGAAUGGAGGUCAUAGAUUUCUAAUGUUCAAGUUGCUGGUAAACCCACCAUCUUCCUUACAAUUUUUUUUUGGGCUGCUACUACAGCCUUAACUCGAGAGCUUAGUCCUAAAAAUGAGUUGAGAACUAAAACUAAUUGAUUCCAUGCUAUAAUGCUUAAGAAUCUUUAUCUAUUUUACUUUUGUACUCAAUGACCUUUUAAGAUGCUAUCAUUUUUCAGUAAACAUGCUGCAUUAGGACAAUAACUUGGAGAUUUUAUCAUAUAUUUUGAUUUUUACUUGGAAGAAUGCAGGUGUUAAAUCAGUGAACUAGCAGGUGUUAACACCUGCUUUCUGUAUCAUUUUACCAUAGCUACUCGUGCCUGUUUCCGUCCAUUAGAAUUUAACUCCUACUAGUUUAUCAUAUACAUGCAUUACAUGUAAUAAAUUUAUGCUCCCAAAAUGAUUUCUAUUUAUUGCUAGUUUAUUACUUGUAGUAAGUUUAUGCUCAAAAUAAUUAUAUUUAUUUCUCCUUGAGUUAAUACUUAUAACUUGAACUAGAGUUAAUACUUACUCCUUGAGUGCAAGUUUUAACACCUACUUGUUGAGUUUAAGUAUUAAUUUGAGUUUUUGCAACAGGUACAUUUGAGCUUGAGCAUGGUGCAGUAUCUCUUCCACCAGUCCACCGGUCUUUUCCCGCAUGCCUGAGAUGAAGAUGGAUUAGAUGAGCAAAUCGAGGAUUUUUGUUGAUUACUUGUUGUACAAUUUUUGGGUUACUAUUUGUUUUGGCAUUUACUACAAAAAUAUACUUUUAAUUAUACAUUUUUUGUGGUUGUACUAGAUUAUUUAUGUUCAAUUUUAAGUUCAAAAGACUUUUUUUUUAUUAUAAUUGAAUACAUUAGAUUUGUGGUUGAUUUGUGUUAUAUUAUGCAUUUAAUAGUUUGGGUUUGUGAUAUUUGUAAUUAUUUUGGAUUGGUUAAAUAAAAAUUUCAAACGAAAAUGCAAUUGAAAAUCUGGUUCAAAUUUCGUAAAGGGUGUAAAGAAGCAACAUCGAGUCACUUUGCUUUGUAGAUGAUUUGUUUUUGUUUUGUCAUGGGGCUAGGAAUUUGGUCUGUGGGCUGGAGAGGCCUUGAAGUUGAGGAGGUUUUAGGAUGGCAAGUAAAUGAGUCUAAGAGCUGUGUUUAUCUUGCAAGAGUGCUAGAGGAGAUGAAGCAGCAAAUUCUACAAUUCCUCAAUUUCAGGGAGGGAUUUCUUCCUGUUAUCUAUUUGGGAUUACCUCUGGUAUCUACUAGUAUUAAAAAAGAGCAUUGUCAGAAGCUUAUUAGUAUAAUAACUAGUAGAAUUGACUCAUGGUAUGCUAAAUAAUUAUCCUAAGCUGGUAGGGUACAUGGUGAGGAAUAAGUUGAAAAGCCUCAGUUUUUGGGGAUCUCUAAACCUAGUAAUGCUAGUUGAUCUUGAAAGAAUCUGGUGAAAAUUAGAGAUUGUUUUAGAAAGCAUUAUGCAUAUAAGUUGGGAAGAGGGGUUUUUCAUUUUGGUAUGACCCUUGCAUGGGUGGGAAAAGUCUUGUUGAGAGGUCUCUGAGUUGAAUAUGGGAUAUUCUGACAUCAUAGGCAUACUAAGGUGAGGGAGGUUUGGAGGGAUGGUAUGUGGAGGCUUCCUAAUCCAUUGGAUUCCACUAUGGAAGGAGCCUGGGAAGAGGUUCGAAAAUAUUAUGUAAGCAGUGAAUGGGCAGAUUCUAUUAAAUGGAAACUCAUAGACUUACACUGUUAAUAGUGCUUGGAAAGUCCUAAGAAGGAAGGGUGGAGUGGUUAAUUGGUGGAAGGUGGUUUGGGGUGAGCGUAUUCCCAGGCACAGUUUUAUAACCUGGUUAGCUAUCCAUAAUAGACUUGUUGUCAAAUCGAGUCUACUUAGAUGAGGAAUGGUAAAUAAUUCGUGGUUUUGCUUCUGAUUACUUAAUAUUAAUUAGAUUAAUAAUAACUAAUAGAUAAAAAUAUCUGAAGGAAAGAAACAUUUAUAAAGAUAAGUGUGUAAGAUCUAUAUGAUUACUUAAUAUUAAUUAGAUUAAUGAUUUCCGAUCGAAAAAGGUGAAGCAAGUGAAAAAACUUAUGUAAAUCUUUAUCUAUUUUUAUUUUUGUGUUCAAUGACCUUUUAAAAUGCUAUCAUUUCUCUUGUAGGUACUUGAAAGGAUAUGAUUAAUUAUUAUAUUUUUAAUAAUAAUGAUUAUAAAUGCAAGAUGUAGGAUAUACAAUCAUAGAGUACAAAGACUACAUUAGACUACAUUAUAAAUGCAAGAUGCAGGAUAUACAAUCGUAGAGUACAUUAUAAAUGCAAGAUGCAGGAUAUGAUUAAUUUAACAAUUAGACUACAUUAUAAAUGCAAGAUGCAGGAUAUACAAUCGUAGAGUACAUUAUAAAUGCAAGAUGCAGGAUAUGAUUAAUUUAACAAUUAGACUACAUUAUAAAUGCAAGAUGCAGGAUAUGAUUAAUUUAACAAUUAGACUACAUUAUAAAUGCAAGAUGCAGGAUAUACAAUCGUAGAGUACAAAGACUACAUUAAUACCUUAAUUAAUGGGCUUUGUAUGGACAGUAAAAUCGAUAAAGCAGUGGAAUGUUUCGAUGAUAUGGUUGCACAUGGUUAUCAACCUGAUGUUCGUACUUACAGUGUGAUAAUAAACGGAUUGUGUAAAUUUGGGAAAACAAAUGUGGCUAUUGGGCUACUAAAGGGAAUGGCUGAUAGAGGUUGUGAGCCAAAUGUUGUGACAUACAGUGCAAUCAUUAACGCCCUUUGCAAGGAUGAGCUAGUUGGUGAGGCUUUAGAGCUCUUCUCUCAAAUGAGGAAUAAGGGCAUUUCACCUGAUGUCAUCACUUACAAUAGUUUAAUUCACGGUGUUUGCAAAUUAGGUCAAAAGAACCAAGCUUUGGCCUUGAUGAAUGAAAUGGUGGAGCAAAACAUAUUACCAGAUGUUUAUACCUUCAGUGUAUUGAUUGACGCUCUUUGUAAGGAUGGAAUGGUUGCAGAGGCUCAAAAUACAUUCAAUGUAAUGAUUCAAAGAGGUGUGGAACCUGAUGUUGUCACUUAUAAUUCAUUGAUGGAUGGAUAUUGUCUGUGCAAGCAAAUUGAUAAGGCUAGAAAGGUAUUUGAUCUGAUGGUGACCAAUGAAAUAGCUGACAUUUUUAGCUACAGCAUUUUGAUCAACGAAUAUUGUAAGUGCAAAAUGAUAGAUGAUGCAAAGAAAUUUUUUGAUGAAAUGUCUUAUAAAGGUUUAGUUCCUAAUGUUGUUACUUAUCAUACUCUUAUAAAGGGUAUGUUUCAAGCAGGGAGGCCCCAAAAUGUAAAAGAGCUCUUUAAGGAUAUGUGCUCUCAUGGUCAACAGCCAGAUAUAGUAACCUUCUCAAUUAUGAUUGAUGGCUUGUGUAGACAAGGGAAUCUUAAUGAAGCACUCACACUAUUGAAAGCAAUGGAGAAAAGUCAAUUGAAGCCUAAUUUUGUGAUCUAUAGCAGUCUGAUCAAUGGUAUGUGCAAAGUUGGAAAGAUUAAUGAUGCCAAGGCACUGUUUUCUAGUCUUUUUGAAAUUGGUUUACAGCCUGAUGUUUGUGUAUAUAAUGCAAUUAUGAAAGGACUCUGCCAACAAGGAUUAAUGGAUGAAGCUUAUAAGUUAUUUAAAGACAUGGAAAAGGUAGGAUGUUUACCAAAUAAUUGUUGUUAUAAUAUCAUCGUUCAAGGGUUUCUCAAGUAUGAGGAUUUACCAAAAGCAUCAGAACUAAUCAACGAAAUGGUUGAUAAGGGGUUCUCUACUGAUGAUGCUACCACAGAAUUGGUAGUACAUUUAUCGCAGAAUAAUAAUCUCAUUCUGAGGCUUUUAAAGGUGCGCAAUGAGGGAUCAUCAAACUAAAGUUGUUAUAUCUUGACCAUUCAAGUGUAUCUUGGAGCGCAACUUGGUGAUUACCUUUUUCAAAUAUAAUAGAUAUGUAAUUUAACUAACUUCUUCAAAUAUCAUUUUUAAUUUCAAUCAGCUGUGUUUCUCUUCAACAAAACGAAGUGGUGGAAACCAUGUUAUGUGUGUGCCUUUCGCUUGAAUUCAGACAUGGACUAGAUCCCUUUGAUAUAAGAUUGUUGAUGAAUGGAGGUCAUGGAUUUCUAAUCAUCAAGUUGCUGGUAAACCCACCAUCUCCAUCACAAUUUUUGGUUUAUUGGGGUUUGAUCCUUGAUGAAAUUUCUAUUCCUCUAGGUUGUUUAGAUGUAUAUAAUCUUGUAUUAAAUACUUCCAUUGAUUAAUUCAGUUGAGAUGCUUGUGUUUGGAUGUUACAUAGUUUCAACCAAUUCUUAUGACCUCCUCAAUUUUACUUGUAAGAGCUGCUAGGAGUUUUAUUUUCUUGAAAAUUGAUUAAAUCCUCAAGACCUCUAAGUUGGUAUACAGAUGGAAAGUUGGCAACACUCUUAAGAAGCUCCGGGAUCGCAAGCUUUAUUAUCCUUUCUUUCAAGGUUCAUCCCCUCAGAAUCCCACCGAAAUUACUUAGCAUUUUGUCUUUUCAAAUUAGUUGUUUCUUUUUAAUUUACUAAAAAUUGUUUCUUCUCUGCAAUCUGCAUUUUAUAUGUGUUUUUAGCUAUUUACUAAGAACUGGAUAUAUGUAGAAGUUUAACCAAGUUUCAGUAAUUCAGUUUUAACUGUUUAUGUUAAUAGCUUUCAUUAAUAGCAUUAGUUUGUUAGAUUUCUAUUAUAAGUUUGUUAACUGUGAAGUUAGUUAGCUUUUAGUAAGAAGCUAAAUUAAUUUUCCCGCCAAUGUUAGAUGAUGCGCCGCUCAAUUCUUUUCUUGUAUAAAUACCUCACUUAUAAAUCUUCUCAUUAAUGAAUGGAAUAUAGAAUUUUUCUCUUAAUGUGAUAUCAAAGCAACUAAGACUCGUGAUCCAGAACUUUUUUUAUUGGCAGUUAUUUUUCUUCUUUUUUCUUCUUAAAUUUCUCUACAAUUUCCUUGAUCUUCUUCAUUUUUUAUCAUUUUUCAUACUGAUCCUACGAAGAUAACUACUAAUCAUACUGUUGAAGUUGUUGAAUCAUCUAAUACAGAUUUAAUUACAUCUAAAUCUAAGAUAGACACAGUUAUUUUUCUUCUUUCUUCUUUCUAAAUUUCUCUGCAAUUUUCUUGAUCUUUUUCAUUUUUCAUCAUUUUUCAUACUGAUUCUACGAAGAUGACUACUAAUCCUACUGCUCAAGUUGUUGAAUCAUACAGAUCUAAUUUCGUCUAAAUCUAAGAUAGACACAGUUAUUUUUCUUCUUUCUUCUUCCUAAAUUUCUCUGCAAUUUCCUUGAUCUUCUCCAUUUUUCAUCAUUUUUCAUAUUGAUCCCACGAAUAUGACUACUAAUCCUACUGCUCAAGUUGUUGAAUCAUCUAAUACAGAUCUAAUUACAUCUAAAUCUAAGAUUGACUUGUUGAAUUCUGAUUCCCCAAGCCAGAUUCUAGUAAGUACUCCUUUGACUGAAUUCAAUUACCUCUCUUGGAAUAGAUCUAUGAUAAUUGUUUUGACUGCAAAACAUAAAAUAGGAUUCAUAGAUGGAACAUGUAAGAAUUUACUUUUUCAUCGUCCACUAUGAAAAUUUAUUAAAAUGCAAAUAGAAUUUACAAAUAGGUAUAAAUUCAUUUAUAAAUGUUAUUUCACAAAAUCCACAUUAAUGAGUUUGUAAUGGUUUAAUAAAUAGAUUAAAUGGUCCAUGCCGUUAAUAUGUUAAUUGAAUAGUUAGCGGUACAAAAUUACCUGAGAGUUAAUAUAAUAAAAAACUCUAAUACCCAAAAUAGUUAUGGCACUUGGAGAGAGAAAUAAGAGCAUUUCCCUCUAUUAACUUUGUCCAUAUAAAACACAUCAUUAUCUGUCCAAAGAGAGUGGGGUAGAGCAAUGAGAGAAAACAUCCAUUUAUUUGACAGUUUUAAAUUUGGUUGCACAAAAAUAGAAUGGAGCUUUUGGAAUUAGAGGAACGCUUGUAUUUUGGAGGGCAAACUCAAAGCGGCAAUACGGUAAUUAAUCUAGCUUUGAGAAGGAGAUAUCUCAACGUCAAUUAGACAUUAUAUGAGUCCUACCAGAGAUUUUUAUAUUUUACUUCUGAUUAGAUUGUGAAGAAGAAGAUUCAUAUAUCACGUAGACAACUAGUUAUAGGGUUUUGCUAUCACUUUUCUCGUACUAAAUUAAAUAUAAAAGAAAAUUUUUUGUUAAUAAUCACAAAUGUUUUCUCUAUGCUAUAAAAUCCGAGUAUCAUAUAAUAUAUCGUCAAGGAACAUGCUACUUUAACUAUUCAAGCGGAGUGGAGAGCGAAAUGCUAGGAAAAGCUAUAGUGAAGGAAGUACAUGUCCAUAAAGACAUACAAUUCUCCAUAUUCAGUUUAGUAUUCUAGUUAUAAAUGUGACAAAUUGAAAAGAUUUAAUUUUAUUAUCUAAAAUUUAAAAUUUUGAAUAUAAAUAUUUGAAUUAUUUAUCAUUCUGCAAACCAUUCUGCUUUCAUUUAAUUUUACAAAUAGAUUUUAUAUCCGUUUAUAAAUCCAAACAUAUCCAUUUAAUUUUAUCAGCAGAUUGCUUAUCUUUUUGCGAAUUAGUUUGUAUCUAUUUAAUUUUAUAAACGGAUUAAAAUAUGUUUGCAAAUCCAUUUGUAUCAAUUUAAUUUUACAAAUUAUACAUUCCUUUGUGAAUAUUUUAUAUCCAUUUAAUUUUAUAAAUAUAUUCUAUAUUAAUUUGUAUCCAUUUAAUUUUAUAAACGGAUUAUAUAGUCAUUUGCGAAUUAAUUUAUAUUUAUUUAAUUUUAUAAACAGAUUAUGCGUCCGUCUGCAAAUCAUUGUGUUCAUUUAAUUUUAUGAAUGGAUUACAUGUCUAUUUGUGAAUAAGUUUGUAUCGAUUUAAUUUUACAAAUAGAUUAUGUAUCCGUUCGAAAAUCAGUUUGUUUCCUUUAAUUUUAUAAACGGAUCAAACAUUUUUUUAUGAACCAAUUUGUAUCCAUUUAAUUUUACAAAUUGAUUAUAUGUCCCUUAGCAAAUAUAUUAGUGUCUAUUUAAUUUACAAACAAAUUAUAUAUCUAUUUAUAAAUUAAUUUGUAUUUAUUUAAUUUUAAAACGGAGUGUACAUCUAUUUACAAAUCCAUCCGUGUCAAUUUAUAAAAUUUUUACAAAUAAAUUAUACAUCCGUUUAUAAAUCAAUUUGUGAUGAGUUGUAAAACUUAUUAUUUUUUCAUAUUAAAUUCUAUAAUUUUGCUGUGAUUUUGAUGUAAAAAAUUGAUUUUUAUUUAAAAUUUGAUUUUAGACAGAUUUUGAGCUAAAAAUGAGAAAAAGAUCUAAAAGAAAUUGUUUUUAGAGUUUUUUUUUUUCCUGACUGCAAAGGUUCAGCCUUGCUCAAGGCUGUAACCCAAGCCAACAAACAGAUUCCAGGAUUACUACUGUUUCAAAUAGAUGCAAACAUAAUUAUAUCAAGAUUAGGAUAAAAGUCAUCAUAGGAGUAGUAGAUUUAUUUUACUUUUUUUUUAAUUAUGAAUAAUUAUUAUUUUUUAUUUGAAAAAAACCUAUAUAAAGGUUGCUCUAGAAGUAGAAUUUACCAUCUCUUCUCAUCAUCUCCUCUCUUUUUCGGUCCCUUCUUAGCUGAAUUCUUCCUCUUCUUCUUCUUUUAUUUUUUUGCAAUCUUAUUAUCACCUUUAGAGGCUAAACUAUUUUAUUCAGUUAAAAGUUAAUCAAAUUGAGAUGCAUUUAAAAUUGUGAGAUUAUGUUCUUAAUUUUUAUUUAUUUUAUUUUUAUUUUUAAUUAAUUUCUAUUUUUGAGAAAUAUCACCUCUAUAAUUGUCCUUUUAGAAUUAAAAGGGCUACAACGUAUUGUUAUUUAAUCCAAGUAAGUUAUAAUUGGGUUAAUACAAGUAGCAAUUAGCGUAUUCUUUAUGUUAAGUAAUUAAUUGAUUUGGUUUAAAUAAUUUCUUUGCUAUUAUUGACCAAAUUUGAGUUAUUCUCUUCUUACAGUAUUUUAAAUCUACACGCUUAAUCGGUGAGAUUCAUUUGUUUAAACACUAUAACCAAUAACAUCUUUUUAAUCAAUGAUGAACUGCAAACCUUUUAAUUUUGAUUACCUUCAGCUGAAUUUUAAUUUGAUUAUUUGUUUCAUCAUUUUAAUUGCAUUAUUUUCUUCUUUAAGUUUUCUUUUUAAAUCAAUUUCUCCAAUAAUGAUUUUAUUCUUUUCUUUUUUGUUUUAAAAUAUUCUUUUAUCCUACUUAUCAUCUAAUUUAAAUGAAGUUAAGGUAUCUAUAGAUAACCCUAUCUGUAUUUUUUUUAAAUUAAGUAAAAGAAAAUUAGUUUUAAUUAAUGUAUUCUACGCCUGUUUGUAUCUAUUAAAUUUUACAAAUGGAUUUUGUACUUGUUUACCAAUUCAUUUGCGUCCAUUUAAUUUUACAAACAUAUUAUAUAUCCAUUUAUAAAUUAAAUUGUUUUUAUUUAAUUUUACAAAUGUAUCAUUCAAAUACAUUCAUGUCUAAUGCUAAUUAUGUGAAAAAAAAAUCAAUAUAUCAAUUCUAUAUUUAAUCUUUAUGUUAAUUUAUAUUUCAAUCAAAUUUAUUUAUUUUUUUUAAUUUCAAUUUAAUACUUGAUGAGUUGCAAAAUUCACUAUUUUUUCAUAUUAAAUUCCAUUUUGUUAUGAUUUUGAUAUAAGCAAUUGAUUUUUACUUAAUUUUGAUUUUGAACUAAAGUUUUGAGCUGAAAAUGAGAAAAUGAACAAAAAGAUAUUAUUCUAGAACUUUUUCUAAUAAUAAGGUACAAUUUUACCUAAAAUUAUGACCUAACUUUGAUGGACAAAUUGUAAUAUUUUUUGUUUGCAAACUGUAGAGAGUUCAAAACUAUUUUCAGAUGCAAAUACAAUCAGAUCAAAAUUAAGAUAAGAAUUAUCAUAAGAGUAGUAGGUUAUUUUACUUUUUCUUUUAAAUGGUGAAUAAUUAUCUUUUUAUUUAAGAAAAUCCUAUAUAAAGGCUGGUUUAGAAGUAGAUCUCUCAUCUAUUCUUCUCUCCUCCACACCCUCUUUUCAGUUUCUCUUCAGCCGAGCGCUCCUUCCCCUUCUUUUAUUUUUUGCAAUUGUAUUAUAACCCUUAGAGGUUAAAGUUAUUUUACUUUUUCUUUUAAAAGGUUAAACUCCUUCAUUCAGUUAUUUUACUUUUUCUUUUAAAAGGUUAAACUCCUUCAUUCAGUUAUUUUACUUUUUCUUUUAAAAGGUGAAUAAUUAUCUUUUUAUUUAAGAAAAUCCUAUAUAAAGGCUGGUUUAGAAGUAGAUAUCUCAGCGCUCCUUCCCCUUCUUUUAUUUUUUGCAAUUUUGUUAUAAUCUUUAGAGCUAAACUCCUUUAUUCAAUUGAAGGUUAAUCAAGUUAGGUUUAAUUAAGUUGUGAGAUUUUAUUUUUAAUUUCUAUUCAUCUCAAUUUCUUUUUUCAAUUAAUUUAAUAAUACAACUUUCUUUAGAAAUUCAAGAGGUCUAUUAAAUCGAAUAAUAACAUAUUAUUAAUUAACCCAAAUAAAUAGGAAAUUAUUUAAUUGUGUUAAUACAAGUGUUAAUACAAGUAGCAAUUAAUAUAUUCUUUUAUGUUAAAAAAAAUAAUUGAUUUGAUUGAAAUAAUUCGCUUGCUAUCAUUGAUCAAAUUUGAGUUUUUUUCCUCUUAAAACUGUUAAUUAAUUAAAUCUAUACGCUUAUGAAAUUAUUAAUUAACUAGAAAUUAAUUUAAAUGUUAUAAAGAUUAAUUUAAUUUUAAAGAAUAAUAGGUGAAAUUUACUUAUUUAAGCAUUAUAACUAAAUGAUGAACAAUUGAGUAAAUAUUUUUUUAAAUUAAUGCAUUCGACGUGGGUCAAUAUAUUUUAAUUUUAAUUUUUAUUCCAUUUAUAUUCAUUUAAAUUAAUCAUUGAAUUUUAAAUUUUAUAAAUUCACCCUCUAAUUUAACCUUUAAUAUUUAUAAACUUAAACUUAUUAUUAAAAUUUUAUUUCAAUCUUUUCAAUUGUAAUUAAAUUUAUUUAUAAAUUAAAUUUUAAUUUAUAAACUUCCCAGAAACCAUAACCCAUCCCCGCUCUACACUGUUGUAAGGUACAGUUAUAAUAAUUUAAUAUUAUUAAAUAAUAUUUUUAUAUGAAAAAUUAAUAAAAAAAAUUACAAAAUGUGCUGCAUAUAAACAACUAGUAAUGCAUUUCCUUUCCCAAUUUCCUUUUGUUAUCCUUACCACUUUACCAGCUGGCAGAGAGCCUUCCUUUUCCGAUUCUCUUAUUUCCUCUCCUCAUUCCCAAUCUCCGAUCCAUCCCUAAAAACAACUGACGAGAGAUCGAUGAUGAUGAUGAUGAAGAUGCCUUGGAGGAGGAAGAGCAGGAGCUUCCAUCUUCAGCUACAAGGGGCAAUUGGUACCAUUCAAUCUCCAUUCCUAUUCUUAUUUACCAAUUAUUGCCAUUCCUCUACUUCCACACUUGAAGAUGCACGCUUCUUCACAAAUAACUUCAAAUCUGCUUCUUUUACCCACAUUGAUGAUGCCAUUGCUUCCUUUAAUCAUGUAAUUCAUAUGCAUCCUCUUCCUUCUAGGGCUCAAUUUAGUAGAUUCUUAUCUGCCCUUGUGAAAAUGAAACAAUAUCACACUGUCUUUUCCAUGUCCAAAACAAUUGAAUUGCUAGGAAUCUCACACGAUGUUUAUUCUCUUAGCAUCUUAAUUAAUUGCUUCUGCCACUUACACCUUGUGGAUUUGGGUUUCUCUGUUUUUGGUAAGAUGCUCAAAUUGGGAUUGGAGCCUGACGUUGUGACAUUUACUACCUUAAUUAAUGGGCUUUGUAUGGAGCGUAAAAUCGAUAAAGCUGUGGAAUUUUUCGAUGAUAUGGUUGCACGUGGUUAUCAACCUGAUGUUUAUACUUACAAUACGAUAAUAAACGGAAUCUGUGAAUUUGGGAAAACAAAUGUUGCUAUUGGGCUACUAAAGGGAAUGGUUGAUAGAGGUUGUGAGCCAAAUGUUGUGACAUACAAUGCAAUCAUUGACGCACUUUGCAAGGAUGAGCUAGUUGGUGAGGCUUUAGAGCUCUUCUCUCAAAUGAGGAAUAAGGGCAUUUCACCUAAUGUCAUCACUUACAAUAGUUUAAUUCAUGGUGUUUGCAAAUUAGGCCAAAAGAACCAAGCUUUGGCCUUGAUGAAUGAAAUGGUGGAGCAGAACAUAUUACCAAAUGUUUAUACCUUCAAUGUAUUGAUUGAUGCUCUUUGUAAGGAUGGAAUGGUUUCAGAGGCUCAAAAUACAUUCAAUGUAAUGAUUCAAAGAGGUGUAGAGCCUGAUGUGGUCACCUACAAUUCCUUAAUUGAUGGUCUUAUGAGAAUUGCUGGCAAAAUAAUAUUGCACUCAUAUAUAUAUAUAUAUAUUCGUUUGACACCAAAUCCUUGAAAUAAAGUUAAUAUAAAAAUUAAGACUUUAUUUUGUUUUAUAAAAAAUAUUUUAUAAAAAAUAUUACACCAUAACAAAUAUAGUUUUAAUGAUAAAAAAUAAGGACUGAUUUAGGGUACAUUCAAUAUCCCUUCAUGAUUUUUAUUUUUUUUUUCUCAAAAAUUGAUUAUAUAAAAAGAAGUAUAAAAUUUUAUAUAAUGGUAAGAAAUAAUAUAAUUUUUUAAAAUAUAAUAUUUGAUAGUAAAAUAAUAAUAUAAAUAAUUUUAUAAAUGGUUAUACAUAAAAAUAUUAAUAUACAUAUUUAAUAAAUUAUGUUUAUACAGUACAUGACAUUAUAACAAAAAAUUAUUAUUUGAUUGUAAUAUAAAAAAAUUUAUUAGUUAAUUUAUUUUUUAAAAACAUAUUAAAAAUUUUCUAAGAUUUUAAAAAAUUUACCGGUUAGUCCAACAUUACUUUUAUUUGUUAAGUAUUAUAAAAAUAAAAAUUAUUAUUUAGUUCUUGUAAUAUAAAAAAAUUUAUAAAUUAAUUCAUUAAUUUUAAAAAAUAUAUUAAAAUAUUUUUAAUUUUAAAAAAUUCAAUAAUUAAUCUCUUUAUUAAUUUUAACUAUUUAAUUUUAUAAAAAAAUUUUAAAUAUUCUAAUAUGAAAGAACUAAUUAGUAAAUAUUUUUAUAAAAUUAAAAGAUAAACUAAUGAAUUUUCUCUUAUUACAUAAAUUAAAUUGUAAAAUAUUUAAUAAAUAAAAUUAAUGAAAAGACUAAUUAAUAUAUUUUUAAUACUUUAAAAAUAUUUUGAUGUAUUUUUUAAAAUAAAAAAACUAAUUAAUGUGUUCUUUUAUAUCACAAAAAUUAAAUAUUACUUAUAAAAAUAUUUAAAAUAUGUUCAAAUGGAUUAAUUAAUAGAUAUUUUUACAAAAUUAAAAAAUUAAUUAAUGAAUUUUUAAUAUUAUAGAAAUUAAAAUAUAAAAUAUUUAAUAAUUAAAAUUAAUAUUAUAAUAAUUUAAUAUUAUAAUAAUAUAAAAGAAUAAAUUUAAUUUGUUAUUAAAUAAUAUUUUUAUAUGAAAAAUUAAUAAAAAAAAAUACAAAAUGUGCUGCAUAUAAACAACAGAGUAAUGCAUUUCCUUUACCAGCAGGCAGAGAGCCUUCCUUUUCCAAUUCUCUAUUUCCUUUCCUCAUUCCCAAUCUCCGAUCCAUCCCUAAAAACAACUGACGAGAGAUCGAUGAUGAUGAAGAUGCCUUGGAGGAGGAAGAGCAGGAGCUUCCAUCUUCAGCUACAAGGGGCAAUUGGUACCAUUCAAUCUCCAUUCCUAUUCUUAUUUCCCAAUUAUUGCCAUUCUUCUACUUCCACACUUGAAGAUGCACGCAUCUUGACAAAUAAUUUCAAAUCUGCUUCUUUUACCCACCUUGAUGAUGCCAUUGCUUCCUUCAAUCAUGUAAUUCAUAAGCAUCCUCUGCCUUCUAGGGUUCCAUUUAAUAGAUUCUUAUCUGCCCUUGCGAAAAUGAAACAAUACCACACUGUCCUUUCCAUGUCCAAAACAAUUGAAUUGUUAGGAAUCUCUCACGAUGUUUAUUCUCUUAACAUCUUAAUUAAUUGCUUCUGUCGUUUACAUCUUGUGGAUUUUGGUUUCUCUGUUUUUGGUAAGAUGCUCAAAUUAGGAUUGGAGCCUAACAUUGUGACAUUUACGACCUUAAUUAAUGGGCUUUGUAUAGAGAGUAAAAUCGACAAAGCAGUGGAAUUUUUCGAUGAUAUGGUUGCACGUGGUUAUCAACCUAAUGUUUAUACUUACAAUGUGAUGGUAAACGGAAUGUGUAAAUUUGGGAAAACAAACGUGGCUAUUGGGCUGCUAAAGGGAAUGGCUGAUAGAGGUUGUGAGGCAGAUGUUGUGACAUACAGUGCAAUCAUUGACG